Molecule: long non-coding RNA, 2249 nt
Filed under: Cyanistes caeruleus (blue tit)
Lineage: Eukaryota; Metazoa; Chordata; Aves; Passeriformes; Paridae
Description: lncRNA (ENSCCEG00000009086.1)
Source: RNAcentral
UCCUGCGCCAGCCCGGAGCGUCCUUGUGUCCUCCCCUCCGCCCUGCGCUUCUCCUCCCGGCCGCCCGCCCGGCCGCCUCUUCCGCUGCUUCCUCUUCUCGGGCCGAGCCUGCUGCGCUUUUCUGCUCUUUCUGCUCUUUCUGUUCUUUUUCUGUUCUUUUCCUCCCCUUUCUGCCUCUUUUCUCCUCUUUUCCUCCUCUUUUCUCCUCUUCCGCUGCUUCCUCUUCUUCACCCGAGCCUGCUGCGCUUGCCCCCGCUUUUCUGCUCUUUUCUCCUCUUUUUCUGCUCUGUUUUCCUUCUUUUCCUCCCCUUUCUGCCUCUUUUCUCCUCUUCCGCUGCUUCCUCUUCUUCAGCCGAGCCUGCUGCGCUUUUCUCCUUUUUCUGCUCUUUCUGCUCUUUUUCUGUUCUUUUCCUCCCCUUUCUGCCUCUUUCCUCCUCUUUUCCUCCUCUUUUCUCCUCUUCCGCUGCUUCCUCCCCUUUCCCCGAGCGCCUGCUCUGCUUUUCUCCUCUUUUCACCCCUUUUCUCCUCUUUUCACCCCUUUUCACCCCUUUUCUCCUCUUUUCACCCCUUUUCUCCUCUUUUCACCCCUUUUCUCCUCUUUUCACCCCUUUUCUCCUCUUUUCACCCCUUUUCUCCUGUUUUCCUCCUUUUCUCCCUCUUCUCUCCUCUUCUGCUGCUUCCUCCCCUUCACCCGAGCACCUGCUCCACUUUUCUCCUCUUUUCACCUCUUUCCCCCUCUCUGCUGCCCCUCUUUUCCUCUUUUCUCCUCUUUCCUCCCCUUUUCCCCCACUUUUCUCCUUUUGUCCUCCCCUUUUCUCCUCUUCCGCUCCUUCCUCCCCUUUUCCCCUCUCAUCUGCUCUUUUCCCUUUUAUUCCUCUUUUUCUCCCCUUUUCCCCCUUUUUCUCCUCUCCCGCUCCUUCCUCCCCUUCCCCUCUCAUCUGCUCCUCUUUUCCCUCUUUUCUCCCCUUUUUCCUUUCCUCUUUUCUUUCAUUUUCUUUUCCCUCCUCUCAUUUCUUUUUCUUCUCUUUUUCUCCCUCCCUUUUUUCCUCCUCUUUUCCCUUCCCCUUUUUUAAUUCCUCUUUUCCCCAUUUUUUCCAUUCUCUUUUCCUCCCCCUGUUUUUCUUUCUUUUUCCUUUCUCCUUUUCCUCCUCUUUUCCCUUUUCCUCCUCCUUUUCCUCCUCCCCUCCCUCCUUUCUGCCCCUUUCCCAUUUCCCCGUUUUCUUCACUUUCUCCUUUUCCUCCUUCCCUUUUUUCCCUCCUUUCCCAAAUUCCUCCCUCUUUUUUCAUCGUUUCCAUUUUCAUUCCCAGAUUUCCCCUUCCCUGCUUUUCCCUUUCCAUCUUUCCCUUCCAAAAUCUUUUCCUUUUCCUCUUUUCCCUCUCCUUCCUUUUCUUUUUUGGUUUCAAUUUCUUUUUUUUUUCCUUCUUUUCUUUCUUUUCCUUCUUUCCCCCUUUCCUCUCCUUCAUUUUUUUUGUUUUGGUUUCAAUUUCCCCUUUUUUCCUUCUUUUCCUUCUUUUCCUUUCCCGCCCCAGCCCCGUUUCCGUGUCCCCAUCCCGAGUUUCUGGGCUGGGAAAAGGAAAAGGGAGAAGGGAAAAGAAAAGGGAGGAAGGAAAAGGGGGAAAAAGGAGAAGGGAAAAAAGGAGAGAGAAGGAGAGGGGAAAAGGGAGGAGGGAAAAGGGAAAGAGAGGAGGGAAAAGGAGAAGGAAAAGGGAAAGGGAGGAAGGGAGAAGAAGGAAAAGAAGGAAAGAAGGGCAAAGAAAAAAAGAAAAAGGGAAAAGGCCAAGGGAGGAGGGAGGAAGGCGAAGGGAGAAGAAAAGGGGAAGGGAGAAGGGAGGAAGGGAGAAUAAAAGAAGGAAGGAAGGGAAAAGAAAAGAAGGAAAGAAGGGCAGAGAAAAGAAGGAAAGAAAGGCAGAGAAAAGAAGGAAAGGAAAAUUAAAGAAGGAAAAAGGGCGAAGAAAAGAAGGAAAAAGGGAAAAUGAAAGAAAGAAGAAGGGCAGAGAAAAGAAGGGAAGCAGGAAAAGGCCAAGGGAUGCGGGAGGAAGGAGCAGGAGCGGGGCCGUGCCCAUCCCCAUCCAAUCCCCAUCCUCAUCCUCAUCCCCAUCCUCAUCCUCAUCCUCAUCCUCAUCCUCAUCCUCAUCCUCAUCCUCAUCCUCAUCCUCAUCCUCAUCCAAUCCCAUCCCAUCCCUAUCCCCAUCCCAUCCCCAUCCUCAUCCUCAUCCUCAUCCUCAUCCAAUCCCAUCCCCAUCCUCAU